UGCCCCAGUAACGGCGAGUGAAGCGGCAACAGCUCAAAUUUGAAAUCUGGCUCUCGGGCCCGAGUUGUAAUUUGUAGAGGAUGCUUUUGGUGAGGUGCCUUCCGAGUUCCCUGGAACGGGACGCCAUAGAGGGUGAGAGCCCCGUCUGGUUGGACACCGAUCCUCUGUAAAGCUCCUUCGACGAGUCGAGUAGUUUGGGAAUGCUGCUCUAAAUGGGAGGUAUAUGUCUUCUAAAGCUAAAUACCGGCCAGAGACCGAUAGCGCACAAGUAGAGUGAUCGAAAGAUGAAAAGAACUUUGAAAAGAGAGUUAAACAGUACGUGAAAUUGUUGAAAGGGAAGCGCUUGUGACCAGACUUGGGCUUGGUUGAUCAUCCGGGGUUCUCCCCGGUGCACUCUUCCGGCUCAGGCCAGCAUCAGUUCGCCCUGGGGGAUAAAGGCUUCGGGAAUGUGGCUCUCUCCGGGGAGUGUUAUAGCCCGCUGCGUAAUACCCUGUGGCGGACUGAGGUUCGCGCAUUCGCAAGGAUGCUGGCGUAAUGGUCAUCAGUGACCCGUCUUGAAACACGGACCAAGGAGUCGUCUUCGUAUGCGAGUGUUCGGGUGUCAAACCCCUACGCGAAAUGAAAGUGAACGCAGGUGAGAGCUUCGGCGCAUCAUCGACCGAUCCUGAUGUUAUCGGAUGGAUUUGAGUAAGAGCAUACGGGGCCGGACCCGAAAGAAGGUGAACUAUGCCUGUGUAGGGUGAAGCCAGAGGAAACUCUGGUGGAGGCUCGCAGCGGUUCUGACGUGCAAAUCGAUCGUCAAACAUGGGCA
Molecule: ribosomal RNA, 811 nt
Filed under: Fusarium solani
Lineage: Eukaryota; Fungi; Ascomycota; Sordariomycetes; Hypocreales; Nectriaceae
Description: eukaryotic LSU rRNA
Rfam family: Eukaryotic large subunit ribosomal RNA
Source: RNAcentral